UGGGGAAUAUUGGACAAUGGGCGAAAGCCUGAUCCAGCCAUGCCGCGUGUGUGAAGAAGGUCUUCGGAUUGUAAAGCACUUUAAGUUGGGAGGAAGGGCAGUAAGCGAAUACCUUGCUGUUUUGACGUUACCGACAGAAUAAGCACCGGCUAACUCUGUGCCAGCAGCCGCGGUAAUACAGAGGGUGCAAGCGUUAAUCGGAAUUACUGGGCGUAAAGCGCGCGUAGGUGGUUCGUUAAGUUGAAUGUGAAAGCCCCGGGCUCAACCUGGGAACUGCAUCCAAAACUGGCGAGCUAGAGUAGGGCAGAGGGUGGUGGAAUUUCCUGUGUAGCGGUGAAAUGCGUAGAUAUAGGAAGGAACACCAGUGGCGAAGGCGACCACCUGGGCUCAUACUGACACUGAGGUGCGAAAGAGUGGGGGGCAAACAGG
Molecule: ribosomal RNA, 429 nt
Filed under: Pseudomonadota bacterium
Lineage: Bacteria; Pseudomonadati; Pseudomonadota
Description: Proteobacteria bacterium partial 16S ribosomal RNA
Rfam family: Bacterial small subunit ribosomal RNA
Source: RNAcentral